GGUUAUAUGCCUUUAUUGUCACGUUUUAUUUUUUUGUUGAGGGUGGGUAGCAAUACUGAUUCGUCAGCGAAUAAAUUGACAAGCCCGAACAAUUGUUCGGGCUUUUUUUUGG
This 112-nucleotide small RNA is filed under the name Citrobacter youngae. RNAcentral's name for it is "MicC RNA". Lineage: Bacteria; Pseudomonadati; Pseudomonadota; Gammaproteobacteria; Enterobacterales; Enterobacteriaceae. The record is from RNAcentral.